This 448-nucleotide ribosomal RNA is filed under the name bacterium enrichment culture clone ALO1_GLFRUDD03G0ZPX. Its description in RNAcentral is "bacterial SSU rRNA". It matches the Rfam family "Bacterial small subunit ribosomal RNA", at positions 9 to 458 of the family's 1533-position model. The record is from RNAcentral.
GAGUUUGAUCGUGGCUCAGAUUGAACGCUGGCGGCAUGCCUUACACAUGCAAGUCGAACGGCAGCACGGGAGCUUGCUCCUGGUGGCGAGUGGCGAACGGGUGAGUAAUGCAUCGGAACGUAUCCUGGAGUGAGGGAUAACGUAGCGAAAGUUACGCUAAUACCGCAUAUUCUGUGAGCAGGAAAGCGGGGGACCUUCGGGCCUCGCGCUCUUGGAGCGGCCGAUGUCGGAUUAGCUAGUUGGUGAGGUAAAGGCUCACCAAGGCGACGAUCCGUAGCAGGUCUGAGAGGAUGAUCUGCCACACUGGAACUGAGACACGGUCCAGACUCCUACGGGAGGCAGCAGUGGGGAAUUUUGGACAAUGGGGGCAACCCUGAUCCAGCCAUGCCGCGUGAGUGAAGAAGGCCUCGGUUGGUAAGACUCUUUCGUCGUACGGGAAGAAAGUUAG